AUACGGAGGGUGCAAGCAUUAAUCGGAAUUACUGGGCGUAAAGCGCGCGUAGGCGGCUUGAUAAGUCGGAUGUGAAAUCCCCGGGCUUAACCUGGGAAUUGCAUUCGAUACUGUCAGGCUAGAGUGUGGUAGAGGGAAGUGGAAUUUCCGGUGUAGCGGUGAAAUGCGUAGAUAUCGGAAAGAACAUCAGUGGCGAAGGCGGCUUCCUGGAUCAACACUGACGCUGAGGUGCGAAAGCGUGGGGAGCAAACAGUAUUAGAAACCCUAGUAGUCC
Molecule: ribosomal RNA, 274 nt
Filed under: uncultured bacterium
Lineage: Bacteria
Description: partial 16S ribosomal RNA
Rfam family: Bacterial small subunit ribosomal RNA
Source: RNAcentral